This 212-nucleotide unclassified non-coding RNA is filed under the name fungal sp. RNAcentral's name for it is "partial internal transcribed spacer region". The stretch from base 1 to 46 matches the Rfam family "Eukaryotic small subunit ribosomal RNA", at positions 1786 to 1831 of the family's 1831-position model. The record is from RNAcentral. Lineage: Eukaryota; Fungi.
AAGUCGUAACAAGGUUUCCGUAGGUGAACCUGCGGAAGGAUCAUUCGCAAUAAAAGGGUUUUUUUAUAAUUCAUAGAAGAAAAAAAAAAAUCCUUUACCACCUUGAGUGCAAUGUAUGAGAAAAGGGGCCAUUUGGCUUGUCUGAAAUAAACAUAUUCUUUGAAUAACUUAAUUCAAUAAUACAACUUUCAACAACGGAUCUCUUGGCUCUC